CUAGCUUUUAAUUUGAAGUGAGAGAUGUAUGACUCUUCCUUUUACUUGAACACUUAUAGGCCAUUAUAGCAUUAUUAAUUGGUCUAACCUGAAUAUUGUCGUGUCUCAGGGGACAGGGAGGCCCAAGGAGAGCAGAGAGAUGGGGGAAUGGCCAGUCAGUGGCACAGUCAGAACGCACACAACAUUUAUCAGUUAAGUUCACCACCUUACAUGGGUGCAGUUCAUGGCACCUGAAUACAAUCACCAUAGUUAUAUCAAAGAUCACUAAUCAUAGAUCACCAUAACAAAUACAAUAACAACGAAAAAGGGUGAAAUAUUGUGAGAAUUACUAAAAUGCAACACAGAGACACAGAGUGAGCAAAUGCUGUUGCAAGAAUGGUGCAAUAGAAUGCCUGUCGCAGGGUUGUCACACACCUUCACUUUGCAAAAAACACAGUAUCUGUGAAGUGUAAUAGGUGAAGCACAAUAAAGUGAGUCAGACCUUUAUAUUAAUUAGCAUUGGGAGAAGGCAAAGAGGAGGAUUAAAUAUCAUAAAUGUUGGUGAAGCUUUCCUUGCCACCUUCUAACCUCCUCCUGGCACCACCUCCCUCUUGCCCAGCUUCCGCAGUUUCUUUCUGCACGCGGGCCUCCAAAACCACUGAAUGUUCCCUCCGUCUCUUUCUCUGCUCUGCUCUGCUCCAUCAUCACAUAAGUGAGCAUUUUUUUAUUGCUUCAGCGACCACUUCAGAGUGUGCUUACAGUCAUGAAUUCAGAGGAUAAUGGGAGGCAACUAGACAGGAUUAAUUGGUUCAAGCUGAUUCUAGGAGACUGAGUAUUUCUCUAAUAAUAAUAGUAAAUACUUCACAUAAUGAUCAUUUUGAUGCAAGUAUUGCGCCAAGUGCUUUGUAUAAAACAAUCAACUAUUUCUCUCAGCUUCCUAUAAGAUCGGUUCCAUUAUUGUCCCCUCUUUUGGUCAAGAAACCUGAGGCUAAGAACGGCUAACAACGGACUGCCACUGUCACUGAGAUUCAAUCUCAGUUUAGCUUUGGAAUCUGUGCUCUUUAUGAAUAAUGAUGAUGAUACUAAUGACAUCAGCAAAGUCAGAAUACUAACAGUUAGGAGCACUUAUCAGGGGCCAGGCAUGUUCUAAGUACUCUAUAGAUAUUCCUUCACUUAUUUAAGAAACAAUACUAGACUAGAAGCCAAAAAGACCAGGAUUCUACUCCAAAUCCUGGUACUGAUUAACUGCAAAACUUGGAGGAAGUCACUUCUACCAAUCUGGAUCUCAAUUUCCACAGAUAUACAUUGAAGAGCUACUAGUCAACAUGUUCCAUAAGCCUGUCUAUCUGAAGAGAACGAUAAGGAUUACAACCUUUAGCUGGAAAACACCAUGACUAUGUUCCAACCUGAAGUACUAAAGAAUCUGCACAGCACAACAGCCUAGGAAAUUUAGCUAUUGGACAGCUUGAUUGCUCCCUCACACCCCGCUUAAUAGAGCUUCUCAUUAAGUCACAAAAAUGAGAUCAUUCAGCAAAAGUCCUUCAGUAUGGCCCGUCCACUCAUGCUAAUGUGGUGUUGAAACAGAAGUCCGUGGGUUUGAGAGCGAAUAAAAGAUCUCAGCAGGGCAUGGAA
Molecule: long non-coding RNA, 1611 nt
Organism: Herpailurus yagouaroundi (jaguarundi)
Lineage: Eukaryota; Metazoa; Chordata; Mammalia; Carnivora; Felidae
Exons: 3
Source: RefSeq, a predicted model, not a curated record